This 563-nucleotide long non-coding RNA is filed under the name Nicotiana benthamiana. RNAcentral's name for it is "long non-coding RNA (NBEN_LNC017689)". The record is from RNAcentral. Lineage: Eukaryota; Viridiplantae; Streptophyta; Magnoliopsida; Solanales; Solanaceae.
UCAGCAUAAGUAUAUUUCUGAUUUACUGCAUCAGUUUGAUUGUGCAAAUGUCUCCUCUGUCGUCUCCCCUUUGGAUAUUAAUGUCAAACUUCAUGCUGAUUCUGGUGUCCUUUUAUCCUCUCCUGACCAGUACAGGAGUCUUGUUGGUAAGAUGUUAUUGGUUGAUCUUGGGGUAUCUGUUUCUCUUCCUUUUUCUGUGUAUUGUGACAGCUAGGCUGAUGUCCAUAUAGCUAAUAAUCCUGUUUUUCAUGAGCGUACCAAACACAUCGAGGUGGACUGCCAUUUUGUUCGAGAUCAGCUCCAGAAUGGCCUUAUCAAGCUGCUUCAUGUUCCUACUUCUCGUCAACUGGCUGACCUGCUCACUAAGCCAUUACCUCGUACCAAACACAUCGAGGUGGACUGCCAUUUUGUUCGAGAUCAGCUCCAGAAUGGCCUUAUCAAGCUGCUUCAUGUUUCUACUUCCCGUCAACUGGCUGACCUGCUCACUAAGCCAUUACCUGGCACUGUGCUUAAUCCGUUGUUAUCCAAGUUGCAGGUGGUUACCCCCUCCAACUUGAGGGGGG